AACUAAUGACUGAGACUAUAUGCUGUCGACUUUGGUAGUGCAUUUGGUUACAUUCAGGAUGACUGGGUUGCUCUGCUGCUUGAUGGGCUUGAUCUUGGGGAGAAAAAUACAAAGUUUUAAGCUACGAAGUCUAAAGCAAAGUUUUGGGCACUAUGUAAAAGGCAUGUAGAUUUGUUUUCUUUAGCAAUCCUAUUUAUCCUUGAAGAAACAAGUAAGACUUUUUCUUUAUUCUUUUCACCAAAAGUCAAGGAUGAUUCCUGUCUGGCCCAAAAUACACACGUCACUUUGUGCUCAUUUCUGUCCUAGGGGAUUUGGUACUGUCUUAAUACAAGAUGCUGAACACAACAUGGUGGCCUUGUGCCGUAUCAUGGUUCUCAUCCUGAUGCUUACAUCUUUGGAAAGGAAAAAAAAACUCGUGUGCCAUCUUCAGCAUAGCUGUGUCCUCAUGCUGCAUGAUUUGAGGUUGCCAUCUCAGCCUCUGAUAUAGCACUGUAACACAGCCUGAGCGUUGACAGCUGCUGGCAGUUCCUUAGCAUGGAAAAAUCAUAAGGAUAACUGUAAAUGAGUUGAAAGGUAUCUCCUCCCUCCUACUCAUACUUGUCAGAACCCAGAAGAACAUGAAGUACUUCAACUUCAACCAAGGUAAGUCAUUGACCCAUUUUACUGAAGGUCUCUCUCAUCCAGAAAUGCUGUUUACUGCCACUUUCUCUAGUUGUUUACAGUCCAAUUCCACCCACCUUUGGGUAAAAGCAUGAUGAAGUUGUAUCAGUGUAAGGGAAGACAGUCAUAGCUCUAGAAUUAUGUGUGUUUCAAUUAACUUCAAGUAAGCAUAGCUUUAAGAAAUGGAUCUCGCCUAACAAAGUGAUUUAAUUCCCUUGAGCCUUGUUUUCAGAACAAGGUUCUGAAGUACAGAGAAAAGUACCCUUUAGCAAUGACAGCAGCAACACAGCAAAGGACUCACUGAAGGAAACUGCUCUAAAUGCUGUCUGGGCAAAUUUGAAACUUGGAACAAGGAAAAGACAUCUAGUGUUAGGAAACCAUACAAAAUAAUAAGAGAGGACUACAUAAGAUUCACAUACCUGCAGCUAUUGGAGACAGUGCCCGUGGACAGAGAUGGCAGCAAUUCAGAUUUGAGGGGAGGCUGAUUUGGAAAAAAAAAAAAAAAAAAAGAGCACAGAGUUCUACUUCAACUCUGGAAGUCUGCCUUGCUGGAUGAGCAUCUCCUGUGGGGUCCAGUCUGCUGUUUCAGAGAAAUUCUCCUGUAUGUAAGGACAGCAAAAAUGAUUCUCAAGCCAGAACAGAUGCAACCUGUGCCCAAAUGCCCCUUCCAAGGUACCAGAAAAGGGCUGUCCUGAGGUGUUAUCAUCCUCUUGGAGAAAAUGUCAGUGCUGUUUACCACAACCAGGUUUUCACUGAAGGAAACGAGUAAGAGCUUAUAUAUGUUUGACAGCAUAAAACAUGAAUAACAUGAAAACAUGAAAAACAUGAGGUCACUAAUUUUCAAGUUUUAAGCAAUGCUUCCUCUAAAAUCAGAACUGCCUUUGAAAAAGACAACUGUAUGAGAACCACGUUUAAAAUGUGUUAAGAAAUAUUAGUUUUAUUUAACCAGUUUUCACAGCUGAAUAUUUAUUCUAUAAAAACUUUACAGAUUGUACAGUUUAUAUAUAGUUCAAACU
Molecule: long non-coding RNA, 1676 nt
Organism: Tympanuchus pallidicinctus (lesser prairie-chicken)
Lineage: Eukaryota; Metazoa; Chordata; Aves; Galliformes; Phasianidae
Exons: 3
Source: RefSeq, a predicted model, not a curated record